Molecule: small nuclear RNA, 113 nt
Organism: Callithrix jacchus (white-tufted-ear marmoset)
Lineage: Eukaryota; Metazoa; Chordata; Mammalia; Primates; Cebidae
Gene: U2
Rfam family: U2 spliceosomal RNA
About the family: U2 is a small nuclear RNA (snRNA) component of the spliceosome (involved in pre-mRNA splicing). Complementary binding between U2 snRNA (in an area lying towards the 5' end but 3' to hairpin I) and the branchpoint sequence (BPS) of the intron results the bulging out of an unpaired adenosine, on the BPS, which initiates a nucleophilic attack at the intronic 5' splice site, thus starting the first of two transesterification reactions that mediate splicing.
Source: Ensembl
AUAAAUUCUCGGCCUUUUGGCUAAGAUCAAGUGUAGUAUCUGUUCUUAUCAGUUUAAUAAAUAAAUAAAUAAAGGUAGAGCUUAAUUCUCAUCUUGAGUAUAUGUGACUUGCU